UACGAAGGGGGCUAGCGUUGCUCGGAAUCACUGGGCGUAAAGGGUGCGUAGGUGGCCAGGUAAGUUCGGUGUGAAAGCUCGGAGCUUAACUCCGAAAUGGCAUUGAAUACUAUCUGGCUAGAGGGUCGGAGGGGAGACUGGAAUUCUCGGUGUAGCAGUGAAAUGCGUAGAUAUCGAGAGGAACACCAGUGGCGAAGGCGAGUCUCUGGACGACUCCUGACACUGAGGCACGAAAGCCAGGGGAGCAAACAGG
This 253-nucleotide ribosomal RNA is filed under the name uncultured bacterium. RNAcentral's name for it is "partial 16S ribosomal RNA". It matches the Rfam family "Bacterial small subunit ribosomal RNA", at positions 524 to 776 of the family's 1533-position model. The record is from RNAcentral.